AAAGGAAUAGACGGGGGCCCGCACAAGCGGAGGAACAUGUGGUUUAAUUCGAUGAUACGCGAGGAACCUUACCCGGGCUUGAAAUGUGACCGACAGGGGGCAGAGACGCCCCCCUCCUUCGGGCGGUCAUGUAGGUGCUGCAUGGUUGUCGUCAGCUCGUGCCGUGAGGUGUCGGCUCAAGUGCCAUAACGAGCGCAACCCCUUCCGCCGGUUACCAUCAUUCAGUUGGGGACUCCGGCGGCACUGCCAUCGCAAGAUGCGAGGAAGGCGGGGAUGACGUCAAAUCAGCACGGCCCUUACGUCCGGGGCCACACACGUGUUACAAUGGGGGGCACAGCGAGCUGGUGCAUGGCGACAUGCAUCGAAUCAUGAAAUCCCCUCCCAGUUCGGACUGGAGUCUGCAACCCGACUCCACGAAGCCGGAUUCGCUAGUAAUCGCGCAUCAGCCAUGGCGCGGUGAAUACGUUCCCGGGCCUUGUACACACCGCCCGU
RNAcentral lists this ribosomal RNA (492 nucleotides) under uncultured bacterium. RNAcentral's name for it is "bacterial SSU rRNA". It matches the Rfam family "Bacterial small subunit ribosomal RNA", at positions 903 to 1397 of the family's 1533-position model. The record is from RNAcentral.